This is a small nuclear RNA of Physella acuta, 160 nucleotides long. RefSeq annotates it as U1 spliceosomal RNA. Lineage: Eukaryota; Metazoa; Mollusca; Gastropoda; Physidae. The record is from RefSeq and is a predicted model, not a curated record.
AGCCGCAUGCGGCUCGCGAGCCGCAGGUUGCCGACCCCUGUUCCAGGGCGAGGCCUGCACAUUGCACUUCGUGUGGGUUGACCCCUGCGAUCACCCCAAAUGUGGGUGACUCGGGUGCGUAAUUUUUUCGUAGGGGGGACUGCGUUCGCGCUAUCCCCUG